RNAcentral lists this small nucleolar RNA (131 nucleotides) under Ornithorhynchus anatinus (platypus). Lineage: Eukaryota; Metazoa; Chordata; Mammalia; Monotremata; Ornithorhynchidae. The record is from RNAcentral.
GCCCUCUCAGAAUGGCACCUGGAGAGUUUCUAGUAUUUUACCAGUCUCGGCUAUGGGAGGGAAAGUCAAGCAGAGGCCGAACCAUUCCAUUCCUAGCUUGGCUAGUGAGUGGAAGGCAAUCUGCGACAAGU